Molecule: long non-coding RNA, 309 nt
Organism: Sapajus apella (tufted capuchin)
Lineage: Eukaryota; Metazoa; Chordata; Mammalia; Primates; Cebidae
Exons: 2
Source: RefSeq, a predicted model, not a curated record
AGUAAAAUUGUCCUUAUUUGCAAAUGGCACAACUGUCUGUAGAAAAUCCUAAGCAAUCUACAAAAAAGCUCCUAGAAUUAGUAAGUUAGUUCAGUAAAAGGGCACAAUACAAGAUCAACAUACAAAAGUCAGCACUGUAUAUAUUGGUAAUGAACAUGUGAAAAGUAAAAUACCAUUCACAACUUCUCAAAAAAAAAAAAAAUUAGAAAAAAAGCUUAGACGGCAGUUCUUCCCCAAAUUGAUCAACAGGUUUAACUCAAUUCCUUUAGAAAUGGCAGCAAGGUUUUUGUAGAUAUAGACAAGAUGAUU